RNAcentral lists this ribosomal RNA (1531 nucleotides) under Deltaproteobacteria bacterium. RNAcentral describes it as "partial 23S ribosomal RNA". It matches the Rfam family "Bacterial large subunit ribosomal RNA", at positions 1120 to 2644 of the family's 2925-position model. Lineage: Bacteria; Pseudomonadati; Myxococcota; Myxococcia. The record is from RNAcentral.
CCUUUAAAGAGUGCGUAAUAGCUCACUGGUCAAGUGGUCCUGCGCGGAAAAUAUAACGGGGCUAAGCUUAGCACCGAAGCCAUGGACUUCCGCUUCGGCGGGAUUGGUAGGGGAGCGUUCUGCCAGCAGUGAAGGUCGACCGUAAGGACGGCUGGAGCGGGCAGAAGUGAGAAUGCAGGCAUGAGUAGCGAGAAACACGUGAGAACCGUGUUCGCCGUAAGUCUAAGGUUUCCGACGGCAGGUCAAUCCGCGUCGGGUUAGUCGGGCCUUAGCCGAGGCCGAAAGGCGUAGGUGAUGGACAUCCGGUCAACAUUCCGGAACCAUUCAGGAGGAGCGAAGUGGGGACGCAGCGGGGUAGGCCAGCCCACGAUUGGUAGAGUGGGUGUAAGUGUGUAGGUGAUGAGGCUCGUGAGGAAAUCUGCGAGCUGAGCCGAGGCACGAAAGCGAGCCCCUGAGGCAGAAGUGGUUGAGCCCUGCUGCCAAGAAAAGCCACUAAGCGAUGAGACCUGAGUGCCCGUACCGCAAACCGACACAGGUAGACGGGUAGAGAAUACCAAGGCGAACGGGGGAACCUUCGUUAAGGAAUUAGGCAAAUUAGCCCCGUAACUUCGGGAUAAGGGGUGCCUCCUGACGUGACAUUUGAACAGAUGAAGCGCUGGGAGGUCGCAGUGAAAUGGCUCUAGUGACUGGUUAACAAAACCACAGGUCUCUGCAAAGCCGAAAGGCGAUGUAUAGGGGCUGACACCUGCCCAGUGCCGGAAGGUUAAGGGGAGGGGUUAGCGCAAGCGAAGCUCUGAACCGAAGCCCCGGUGAACGGCGGCCGUAACUAUAACGGUCCUAAGGUAGCGAAAUUCCUUGUCGGGUAAGUUCCGACCCGCACGAACGGUGUAACAACUAGAGCACUGUCUCAACGAAGGACCCGGUGAAAUUGAAAUAGGCGUGAAGAUGCGUCUUACCCGCAGCAGGACAAAAAGACCCCGUGGAGCUUUACUGUAGCUUGGCAUUGAGUUUGGGGAUGAUCUGUGUAGGAUAGGUGGGAGGCUGUGAAGCUGGGGCGUCAGCCUCGGUGGAGCCGACGGUGAAAUACCACCCUGAUCAUGUCUAGACCCUAACCCCACACCGUAAACCGGGUGGGGGACCGUGCCAGGUGGGCAGUUUGACUGGGGCGGUCGCCUCCUAAAAGGUAGCGGAGGCGCCCAAAGGUUCCCUCAGGUUGAAUGGAAACCAACCGAAGAGUGUAAAGGCAUAAGGGAGCUUGACUGCAAGACCAACGCGUCGAGCAGAGUCGAAAGACGGGCUUAGUGAUCCCACGGUACCGAGUGGAAGGGCCGUGGCUCUACGGAUAAAAGCUACCCCGGGGAUAACAGGCUGGUGAAGUCCAAGAGUUCAUAUCGACGACUUCGCUCGGCACCUCGAUGUCGGCUCAUCGCAUCCUGGGGCUGGAUAAGGUCCCAAGGGUCGGGCUGUUCGCCCGUUAAAGCGGUACGCGAGCUGGGUUCAGACCGUCGUGAGACAGGUCGGUCUCUAUCCG